This 467-nucleotide ribosomal RNA is filed under the name uncultured bacterium. RNAcentral describes it as "partial 16S ribosomal RNA". It matches the Rfam family "Bacterial small subunit ribosomal RNA", at positions 28 to 506 of the family's 1533-position model. The record is from RNAcentral.
GAUGAACGCUGGCGGCGUGCUUAACACAUGCAAGUCGAACGGUGAGGGCGGAGCUUGCUCUGCUGGAUCAGUGGCGAACGGGUGAGUAACACGUGAGCAAUCUGCCCCUGACUCUGGGAUAAGCGCUGGAAACGGCGUCUAAUACUGGAUACGAGCUGCGAAGGCAUCUUCAGCAGCUGGAAAGAACUUCGGUCAGGGAUGAGCUCGCGGCCUAUCCGCUUGUUGGUGAGGUAACGGCUCACCAAGGCGUCGACGGGUAGCCGGCCUGAGAGGGUGACCGGCCACACUGGGACUGAGACACGGCCCAGACUCCAACGGGAGGCAGCAGUGGGGAAUAUUGCACAAUGGGCGAAAGCAGGAUGCAGCAACGCCGCGUGAGGGACGACGGCCUUCGGGUUGUAAACCUCUUUUAGCAGGGAAGAAGCGAAAGUGACGGAACCUGCAGAAAAAGCGCCGGCUAACUACGG